GUGGGGAAUAUUGGACAAUGGGCGCAAGCCUGAUCCAGCCAUGCCGCGUGAGUGAUGAAGGCCCUAGGGUUGUAAAGCUCUUUCGCCAGGGACGAUAAUGACGGUACCUGGAUAAGAAGCCCCGGCUAACUUCGUGCCAGCAGCCGCGGUAAUACGAAGGGGGCUAGCGUUGUUCGGAAUCACUGGGCGUAAAGCGCACGUAGGCGGAUCUUUAAGUCAGGGGUGAAAUCCCGAGGCUCAACCUCGGAACUGCCUUUGAUACUGGGGAUCUCGAGUCCGGGAGAGGUGAGUGGAACUGCGAGUGUAGAGGUGAAAUUCGUAGAUAUUCGCAAGAACACCAGUGGCGAAGGCGGCUCACUGGCCCGGUACUGACGCUGAGGUGCGAAAGCGUGGGGAGCAAAUAGGAUUAGAUACCCCAGUAGUCC
This 425-nucleotide ribosomal RNA is filed under the name uncultured bacterium. RNAcentral describes it as "partial 16S ribosomal RNA". It matches the Rfam family "Bacterial small subunit ribosomal RNA", at positions 354 to 796 of the family's 1533-position model. The record is from RNAcentral.